UACGGAGGGGGCGAGCGUUGUUCGGAAUUAUUGGGCGUAAAGGGCGCGUAGGCGGCCGGCCAAGUCGGGUGUGAAAUCCCUCGGCUCAACCGAGGAACUGCACUCGAUACUGGCUGGCUUGAGUCCGGGAGGGGAUGGUGGAAUUCCCAGUGUAGCGGUAAAAUGCGUAGAUAUUGGGAAGAACACCGGUGGCGAAGGCGGCUCACUGGCCCGAUACUGACGCUGAGGCACGAAAGCGUGGGGAGCGAACAGG
This 253-nucleotide ribosomal RNA is filed under the name uncultured bacterium. RNAcentral's name for it is "partial 16S ribosomal RNA". It matches the Rfam family "Bacterial small subunit ribosomal RNA", at positions 524 to 776 of the family's 1533-position model. The record is from RNAcentral.